Molecule: ribosomal RNA, 497 nt
Filed under: uncultured bacterium
Lineage: Bacteria
Description: partial 16S ribosomal RNA
Rfam family: Bacterial small subunit ribosomal RNA
Source: RNAcentral
GAUGAACGCUGGCGGCGUGCCUAAUACAUGCAAGUCGAGCGAACAGACGAGGAGCUUGCUCCUCUGACGUUAGCGGCGGACGGGUGAGUAACACGUGGAUAACCUACCUAUAAGACUGGGAUAACUUCGGGAAACCGGAGCUAAUACCGGAUAAUAUAUUGAACCGCAUGGUUCAAUAGUGAAAGACGGUUUUGCGGUCACUUAUAGAUGGAUCCGCGCCGCAUUAGCUAGUUGGUAAGGUAACGGCUUACCAAGGCAACGAUGCGUAGCCGACCUGAGAGGGUGAUCGGCCACACUGGAACUGAGACACGGUCCAGACUCCUACGGGAGGCAGCAGUAGGGAAUCUUCCGCAAUGGGCGAAAGCUUGACGGAGCAACGCCGCGUGAGUGAUGAAGGUCUUCGGAUCGUAAAACUCUGUUAUUAGGGAAGAACAAAUGUGUAAGUAACUAUGCACGUAUUGACGGUACCUAAUCAGAAAGCAACGGCUAACUACGUG